This is a long non-coding RNA of Notolabrus celidotus (New Zealand spotty), 1027 nucleotides long. RefSeq lists it as uncharacterized. The transcript is spliced from 3 exons. The record is from RefSeq and is a predicted model, not a curated record. Lineage: Eukaryota; Metazoa; Chordata; Actinopteri; Labriformes; Labridae.
AUGUGCUCUGUGUUUGCUCCUCGUUCAACCGUGGAGACGCACGAUAUACAGCUGACAAGAGUGAAAUAGAGCCAAAAGAAAGGUGAAAGAACGCGCCAUUGGAAGUAUAUCAUCCAACCACAUUGUUUGUCAGCCUAAACCACAGGCAUCAUGAAGUGCACAGUGAGUCUGACCACAGUCAGUUGUAAGAAGGACCGGCUGUCUGAAUCUCAUGAACAGAGGGACCACCUGCGCAGCCAAAGUGACAGGCACCUCUCCCCUGCAUAUAGAAGAUUCCCACUGCUGCCUUAAGUCCCCACUCCUCUGUGUCUUCCAAGACAUCGUACGGCCGGCAGAUGGGGCGUGGAGAUGAGAUUUCUGAGAGUGUUUAAGCCCGAGACACAGGGAGCCUCUUCAGGGUCGAUGGAGAACAGAUAAUCUAACGACUCCAGUGAGGGGAUUACAAACAUACAGGCAGACCUCUGCUGUUGAGUCCUGCUGUGGGGCACCUUCAUAGGUCACCUCUGUGAAAUUUGACUGAGGGGAUUACUGUGAAUGUCAACUAUGUGUAUUUUUAUUUAACAUGAGUCACGGCUGGGUGGCCUCUUCUGGAUUGUAGAUAUUUUGGUGUAAUUUUCAUGGUGAUUCCUAAUGGAGAAUGACUGUGAAAAUAUCUCAUAUCAAACAUCUUUACCCUCAUUAUGCUGAUGUAGCUCAGUUUUUUACCUCGACCUGUAAGAAAUGAAGGGUAUGGAGAUUUUUAUAGUAUGCUUAAAACAAUUGGUUGAGUCCAACUGACUCAGUGCUGAAGUGUCAGUGACACUGGAGCAGACAUCUUUAGGAAAACGCUUGACCCACAGAUCACCUAGAAUGAAGUUAAACUGUUUCAUCUAAAUGGACCUGAAUCCUUUUUGUUUAACCUGGCUCCGGUCGUGUUGGCACCACCCAGGCGAUGUCAGGAUGCAUUUCCUCUCAUGCAAGUGAAGGGGUCUGCCACUGUGCCACAAUCUGCACCCGCUUCUCAGGCAGGCUAAACCCUUUGACACCA